RNAcentral lists this transfer RNA (69 nucleotides) under Ictidomys tridecemlineatus (thirteen-lined ground squirrel). RNAcentral's name for it is "Spermophilus tridecemlineatus (thirteen-lined ground squirrel) tRNA". It matches the Rfam family "tRNA". From Rfam's summary of the family: Transfer RNA (tRNA) molecules are approximately 80 nucleotides in length. Lineage: Eukaryota; Metazoa; Chordata; Mammalia; Rodentia; Sciuridae. The record is from Rfam by way of RNAcentral.
GGGGUUGUGGCUUAGUGGUAAAGUGCUUGCCUCACAUGCAUAAAGCACUGGGUUCGAUCCUCAGCACCA